RNAcentral lists this ribosomal RNA (260 nucleotides) under Escherichia coli. RNAcentral describes it as "partial 16S ribosomal RNA". It matches the Rfam family "Bacterial small subunit ribosomal RNA", at positions 1 to 257 of the family's 1533-position model. The record is from RNAcentral. Lineage: Bacteria; Pseudomonadati; Pseudomonadota; Gammaproteobacteria; Enterobacterales; Enterobacteriaceae. RNAcentral also lists the same sequence under 1 other name.
AAAUUGAAGAGUUUGAUCAUGGCUCAGAUUGAACGCUGGCGGCAGGCCUAACACAUGCAAGUCGAACGGUAACAGGAAGCAGCUUGCUGCUUCGCUGACGAGUGGCGGACGGGUGAGUAAUGUCUGGGAAACUGCCUGAUGGAGGGGGAUAACUACUGGAAACGGUAGCUAAUACCGCAUAAUGUCGCAAGACCAAAGAGGGGGACCUUCGGGCCUCUUGCCAUCGGAUGUGCCCAGAUGGGAUUAGCUUGUUGGUGGGG